This 471-nucleotide ribosomal RNA is filed under the name uncultured bacterium. Its description in RNAcentral is "SSU rRNA". It matches the Rfam family "Bacterial small subunit ribosomal RNA", at positions 26 to 521 of the family's 1533-position model. The record is from RNAcentral.
AGGAUGAACGCUGGCGGCGUGCCUAACACAUGCAAGUCGAACGUCCUGUCUCGCAAGAGGCAGGGAGUGGCGGACGGGUGAGUACCACGUGGGUCAUCUACCGUGAGGUGAGGAAUACCGGCGAGAAAUCGCCGACAAGACCGCAUAGGCUCGAUGCAAGUCGAGCAAAGCUCUUUCGAGAGAGGGAGCGCCACACGAGGAGCCUGCGCCCGAUUAGCUAGCUGGUGGAGUAACGGUUCACCAGGGCGACGAUCGGUAGCUGGUCUGAGAGGACGAUCAGCCACACUGGGAUUGAGAACGGCCCAGACUCCUACGGGGGCAGCAGUGAGGAAUUUUCGUCAAUGGGGGCAACCCUGAACGAGCAACGCCGCGUGCAGGAAGAGGUUUCGGAUCGUAAACUGCUUUUCUCGGGAAGAGAAUGGACGGUACCCGAGGAAUCAGCCCGGCUAACUACGCGCCAGCAGCCGCGGU